Molecule: ribosomal RNA, 429 nt
Filed under: Bacteroidota bacterium
Lineage: Bacteria; Pseudomonadati; Bacteroidota
Description: Bacteroidetes bacterium partial 16S ribosomal RNA
Rfam family: Bacterial small subunit ribosomal RNA
Source: RNAcentral
UAGGGAAUCUUCCGCAAUGGACGCAAGUCUGACGGAGCAACGCCGCGUGAGUGAAGAAGGAUUUCGGUUCGUAAAACCCUGUUGUUAGAGAAGAACAGCGCAUAGAGUAACUGUUAUGCGUGUGACGGUAUCUAACCAGAAAGCCACGGCUAACUACGUGCCAGCAGCCGCGGUAAUACGUAGGUGGCAAGCGUUGUCCGGAUUUAUUGGGCGUAAAGCGGGCGCAGGCGGUCAAUUAAGUCUGAUGUGAAAGCCCCCGGCACAACCGGGGAGGGUCAUUGGAAACUGGUUGACUUGAGUGCAGAAGAGGAGGGUGGAAUUCCAUGUGUAGCGGUGGAAUGCGUAGAUAUAUGGAGGAACACCAGUGGCGAAGGCGACUCUCUGGUCUGUAACUGACGGUGAGGCUCGAAAGCGUGGGUAGCAAACAAG